This 994-nucleotide long non-coding RNA is filed under the name Malus domestica (apple). RNAcentral's name for it is "long non-coding RNA (MDOM_LNC017270)". Lineage: Eukaryota; Viridiplantae; Streptophyta; Magnoliopsida; Rosales; Rosaceae. The record is from RNAcentral.
AGGUGUAAAAAUAUAUAAUCUUGGUUUAAAUAAAAAAUUUCAUGUGUAUUGGAGAGCUUGCAUUUGAAAUCUUCUCAAAUAAUGUGCAUCCAAAAGCACCUAUAUGAAAAUCACAGCUUUAGUUGUACCCUUUCUCUGAAAAAACCCUAACUCUCUCUCAGAAAAAAAUCGUAACUUUGCAAAAGCUUUAGCUGCCGGUCCCUUGCUUGGGCUUGGGCCAUCGGUAGCCUCUCUCCCCCUUCCUUCUAGCGCCUCUUCUCUUCCCCUUUACUCCCCAUCUUGUUCCCCUUUGUUUCUAGUUCUUGUGUUGAGAAGCAUCUCUUCUUCCCUACCACUCUGUGGGCAACCAAUCUUCUCGACGUUGUUGCAGCCUCCCGUCCCCAAUUUCCGUGAUCUUCUACUUUAUUGGCAAGAUUUGCGGGUUUGGGUGAAUUGUGGUUGUUUGUGAGUCGGAUCCCCUUUUUUGGUUUGUUUUUCAGAGCUUCAUGACUCCUCUUGACGAAUUUGUGGCAGCUCCGCCUACCUUAUCCCGAUCAAUGGCGGCUGAUGGUUAUAUGGCAGAUGUUGGGGUCUUGGAUUGAGGUGUUCUGGCUACGUUUGGAUUUGGGUCGCUUUCUUGCUUUGUCGAAGAGAGAUUUUGAAUUUGUGUGUCGUUCUCGAGGAAAGCCAUUGUGGUUGGGUCGCUCUCUCGCUUUAUUGUAGAGAGCAUCUGUGGUUGUGGUUGUUGUUUAGUGUUUGUUGUUUAUUGUUUAGGAUUUGGUUUGGUUGUUUGUACCUGGCAAAGGACUAUGUCAACUUCUCCACGUUGUCUCAUAGCAUAGCAGGGCUUCUUUGCUGAAAUGGCAGGAUACAAAAAAUAAAUAAAAAUUAUGCAACGAAAAUAUUCAUCACGCAAGAAAAAGCGGGAAAUUUUUUUUUUUGCAGCCAAAUGUUUGCGCGACGAAUAUUUCCAUAUAUUCAUUGCGCAAAGUUUCAUUGAAAAUGGUCAGAUGCC